RNAcentral lists this long non-coding RNA (2056 nucleotides) under Mus musculus (house mouse). Its description in RNAcentral is "long non-coding RNA chr3:68342870-68344926". The record is from RNAcentral. Lineage: Eukaryota; Metazoa; Chordata; Mammalia; Rodentia; Muridae.
UUUCUUUCCUUUCUACCUUUAAUUUACCCAUAAUGAUGGGCAAGCCCAAUACCCAGUCCGUUUACCUUUUGUUGGCCUUAGUGUAGAAUCAACUGGCUUGAUUAGCCUACUUUUUCUUAAGCCAUAGUCAUUUACCGUAUCUAGGUUAAGUAUAACCCUGGAAAACAGUACAUUCUAGGGAUUCAAAAUAAAAGUCAAAUCUCUACCUUUAUAAAAUUUCCAUCUUACUGAGAAGAUAUAUUUCCUCAACUAAAAAAAUCUAUAAUCAAGGAAUACACAAUGCCCAGCAGAAGUAUGACGCUUGUAAAUUUUCCAGUGGAGUAGAGACAUCAGAAAGGUUCCAGAGAGAAAGAGCUCUUGAUGCUCCAAUGGUGAGUAGGAGUCGUCCAGAACAUAGGUAGGGCCUGCGGGAACUCAGGCUUGCAAAGGUUGUCCAGUAAGCAAGCAGGUUGUAGGUCUGGAAAACAGUGAGCAACCCCUGUGAAAGAGACCUUCAACCCACAAAGGAUUCAUGACCCACAGGUUGAGAACCACUGAUCUAGACCAUGAGAGGUCUGUCUUCAUCAGCUAUACACUGGGCAAUCCCAAAAAGCGCCUCAUGUAACUACCCGCCCCCCCCCCGCCCCCGUAGCUCUUAGUGAUACUAUUUUCAUUUAUUAUAUGAGAAAUCCCAGCCUUAAAUGGGCUAGGCAUGCUCAGGAUCUCACAGCUAGUACGUGGCAAAGUUAAAUUCAGUCUCAGCUUCUCUUUCCCCAAGCCCAGUGCUCUUCCGCCAGGCCCAGCCUUCUCCCUAGGCAAGAGAAACAAGUAAUGGAGUGUAGAGGUUCAUCCUGAGGUGGCAGUGCAGUGGCAAAGUGCGGCAGAUAUCAAAUGCAUUAUGGGGGACACACUGAGAGGACAAUACCAACAGAGAGCCUCAGGAAGCAAUGGAACCACCUUCUCUCUUGUUCAUCAACCAGGCAGGAAUCCAAGCUCUUGUAGAGGGUGAUGGGCCGCAACUGACCUGUUCUUGUUUUUGUUUUUUCGGAGUUGGAUUCAGUAUUAUUUUUCCUUGUUCUUAAGACAUCUACCCAGUUUGUUUUCACACUUGAAACACCAGAUAUAGUUCCAAGCCUCUUGCAGAGGGAGUCCCCUGUGGCCUCCCCCUUUCAUCUGUCUCCACUAGGGUGCCCUGUUUCCUUUCCACAUCAAACACUCAUCAUGUGAAGCUUGAAACCAAAUCUAUUGGCAGACAAUUUCUGAAGCUGGAAGAUGGUUUAUCUCUCCCGCAGCUGUCAUUAGCGUAGUGUUUCAUCUUUUGCCUGGACCCAUGCUCUAGUAUAGAAUGGCAUUGAAAAAGCCAUUACCCUCUUUGCUCACACGGAGGGUGGAUUAACUGAAAUUCAUGUUCUAAAUAGCAUUGCAAUAUGGAGUUGUAACAUUCUUGGUGUUGUUUAGCAAAGAUCAUAGGUAGCAAUCAGAAGGAGAACUCAGAAAUCAGCCUUGCCCAUCACAGCAGGUGUGCUUGUGUUUUGAAACUCUACCAUUAUGGCUUGAAUAGGAAUUGUCCGCAAAAACCUCCUGGUGAAGUGGUCAGUCCCCCGGGGGUGGUGCUGUUCCAGAGGUCCUGGAAAUGAUAGGAAAUGGAGCAAUUUGGUGAAAGUAGUUCAUUGGACAUGUGUCCUUCUGCUGUAUCUAGUCACAGGCUCCUUUUGGUCUCUCCCUCACUACUUUUUGUUUACUAUGAGGUAAAGACCCUCUGCUGUAAACAAACAAAAAAAAAUCAUUAUGAAUUCAAUAAAAGUUAGUCACUGUAUACUAAGUUACAUAGUAAGUGAUGCAAUCUUAUACUAUGUUGUACAAUAGAAUGACUGUGGAAAAUAAUAAUGAUGUCUUGUAUAUAUUUUUAAAAGCUAGAAAAAAAUCUUUCAUGUUAUAUUUAAGUGUUUCAUACAAUUUAUUUUGAUAGUAUGAUGUCCCUUCCCCCAACUCCUCCCAGACCUUCUCUAUCUCCCUGCUCAUUCAACUUCAUUCCCCCUCUCAAAAAGUGAAUAUUAAAACAAAUAAGUAAUAGGCC